UAAGUCUUAAAACAAUUUUUUUUGUCACUCUCUCUUGCGUUUUCUUCACUCCCAUUUCACUCACAUCACAACCGCACCCUCUUGCUCACCAUCUCUAUCUCAUUUCAAUCUUCUCCCUCAUUCCAUUUCAUUCUUCUCUGUGCAGGUCCACCGUCGCUGGUGGGGGUUGCGACGGGCUAGCGCGGGCUCAUUAGGGCUGGACAACGCAAAGGCCUAGGACUACUCGACAAUGCUUGCAGGUAAAAUCUCACUCUCCACUGCCUUUUCAAAUCCCAGGCGCUGUGUGCUACUGCAUAUUAUUUGGAAAUGAAUAUUGAAGGGUGGAAGGGUUUGUUCAUAGAGUAGUGCUCCUUCUUGCAGCAGGGUUACCCUAUCCAUUCCACAAGCUUGAUCUCUUCACUCUCUUAAGUCAGGAAAGGUUGGAUUUGUGGAUAUUCUAAUGAGAGGUGGAUAAUAAAAGGAAGGUCUCUGUUAUGGGUUUUGACAAAUGCACACGUGCUCAUCAUAAUUGGACAGGAUCAAGGAGGAUGAAGAUGAUUCAAGCUGAGGGAGUGGAGUCCCUUUUAGAAAAAGAGCUUAUUUCAGCCCGUCGAGAACGAGGCAUACUUGGAACACGUUCAGUAGAGGAAAUGCGAGAAGAGGUUUGAGAAGAUAGACUGAAACAUGCGAGAAGAGCUUACAUUGACUGAAGAUAGACUGAAACAUGUCUAUUAAAUUUAUCACAUAUGGUUCAUGAAUACUAUAUUUUCAUGGUGAUUUCACCUCAUUUGUUACUGUCAGGGAUGUCAAUAAGCCAAUGUAAGCUUUGACUGGCUGCAACCUCUUCUAAACAGCCCAUAGUUAUAUCAUCAGCUUACGUUUGUUUGAAGUAUUUUAUAAGAAACAAUAUAAAUCAUAUCGUAUUAUAUAAUGCUGAUAUGGAUCUAUUUUAGUUUGAUCUUU
Molecule: long non-coding RNA, 942 nt
Organism: Humulus lupulus (European hop)
Lineage: Eukaryota; Viridiplantae; Streptophyta; Magnoliopsida; Rosales; Cannabaceae
Exons: 5
Source: RefSeq, a predicted model, not a curated record